UUAUUUUGACCUAUUGGGCCUUUGAAUUUCUAUUUUUGAAAAUAUUGAGUCCAAUUUGUCCAAAAAGCAGCUCUGGAGUGUUAAAUGUUUUCUUAUAGAUUAAUAAAUGACAAAAGAUAGAAAGUGGUGGAUUGAAUUUAAUUUUUUUUUGCAUAUGCAUGGACAAAUUGGAUUCAAUAGAUACAAAAAUAAAAUGAGUUAAUAGGUCAAAUUAAUGUUAAAGAUUUUAAAAGUUUUUUUUUUCUUUAAGUUCAGGGGCUUCUAUAUGAGUUAUUCCUUUUGUUUUUGGACACAAAGUAUGCUCAGCAUGUGACAACUAAUAGGCAGGUUUCCUGCUGAAUGAAUUGAUCCAUUAAAACAAAAGCCAUGCCCUAAAAGACAUCAUGUAUAUAUCUUUCUCUUGCAAAAAUAUGUAUAUUGUGGGAUUGCUUGGAGAAUUGUAAUUGGUUCUCUGCUGGGGAAAUGGUUCUGUAACUGAUUCGUGCCUGCAGACAUGGACAGAUGCUUCUAUUCUAUGAAAUAUUGCGUAUUUGUUUUUCCAAUUAGACUGACUUACUUUCUCUCAAACCCAUGCUCACAUAUUCCCUCCUCAACGAAGAAAAUAACGGGAUAAAAAAGACAACAGAAAAAUUAACUAAGAAGAAAAAAUCCUAAUUUAUCAUAAACGGAAUUGAAAGUCAGGAAUUUGAUUUUUAAAUAGGUUGCAUGUGAUGCCUCUCUUU
Molecule: unclassified non-coding RNA, 722 nt
Filed under: Hevea brasiliensis (rubber tree)
Lineage: Eukaryota; Viridiplantae; Streptophyta; Magnoliopsida; Malpighiales; Euphorbiaceae
Source: RNAcentral